This 241-nucleotide ribosomal RNA is filed under the name uncultured bacterium. RNAcentral's name for it is "partial 16S ribosomal RNA". It matches the Rfam family "Bacterial small subunit ribosomal RNA", at positions 15 to 244 of the family's 1533-position model. The record is from RNAcentral.
GAUCAUGGCUCAGGAUGAACGCUAGCUACAGGCUUAACACAUGCAAGUCGAGGGGAAACGACAUCGAAAGCUUGCUUUUGAUGGGCGUCGACCGGCGCACGGGUGAGUAACGCGUAUCCAACCUGCCUACCACUUGGGGAUAACCUUGCGAAAGUAAGACUAAUACCCAAUGAUAUCCCACGAAGGCAUCCGAAUUGGGAUUAAAGAUUUAUCGGUGAUGGAUGGGGAUGCGUCUGAUUAG